Molecule: long non-coding RNA, 2260 nt
Filed under: Nicotiana benthamiana
Lineage: Eukaryota; Viridiplantae; Streptophyta; Magnoliopsida; Solanales; Solanaceae
Description: long non-coding RNA (NBEN_LNC004977)
Source: RNAcentral
CUUUUCAAUUAAAUUACAACUAUAAUAACAAUACAAUUACAUAAUCCUACUCAUACAAUUAAUCGCACAAAAUGAAUUGCUAUACAACUACAAAAUUAACAAUUAAUGUCACCUGGACUAAAUAGCGCAAACAACAAGAAUGUCCAAUGUUUGUUUCACUUAGUCACAACUCAAUUCAGGCUUGAAAUCCAUCCAGUGACGGAUUUGAUCAACUGGUAAUCACAUCCGACGACUGGCAUAACUUUGGCUUCCACGUGCUAACACCAAAUCAAAAUUACUUCAUUCACUUCAAGAGCCAAUACUAAAUGAGGAAAUAAUAUGCAUUUAGUCGUAUACUUAAUACUUAAGGAUUCUGUGUCACGGCUGAACUAGUGUUUCCAUAACAUUUUACAUCUUUAACUUUAAACGAAGGUAAUUAAAGCAUAAAACAUAACAAGGGCAAAUUGUCCUUAAUCAUGUGAAUCAUACUUGCAUAUUUGAUACCCAACAAUGAACUACCAAGCUAACACUACUACAGCAGUCCAUAUUCAGAACAAACAAAAAGAAAUAUAUAAAAAUUAAGCUAAGCUAAAAAGUUUCGAAAGUGCAGAAACAGGAAUAAACAACUGCAUUAGUACGAAUCUCUAGUCAAGUGAACUAAUCUUCAUAUUCAUUCAUUUCCAUACAUUGGAAGGUGAGAUGAAUAUCUGGCAGAAUAAAAUAAGAAAGGAGGAGAAGUUCAGCAAUAGGCAGUAGCAAGAACAAUAUUCAGCAACCAAAUCACCUAGAAAUAACCGGAAAACCAAUUUUACACCAGGUUUGAACCAACAAUAGUAUCAAAUAAAGCUCAGAAUCAUAACACGGCCAACACCUGAACCCAAACACUUGAAUACCAACAAAAAUUCAAGUCUUUUUAACCAUCAGUUAUUCAGUAAUUAUUUCAGAAGUGGAGGUCUCAAGGAUUUCAAAAUCGUCUAAAGGAAUAGUUAAAUUUUUUUGUUUUAGAUUUUUGAGUUUUUUUUUCUCUUCUCUCUCUGAAUUGAGCCACAAGUAACCAUGCCUUUAUAUGCAAGUUACUAAGGCAAGAAAUAUUCAGCCAAGUUUUUGCACUUUUGAUCCCUUUUAAUUUUCCUUUUGUUAGUUAGCCCCUCAUUUUUGACUUGCUAGCCAAGUAAGUAUACUUUUCAACUUUCAGGAAGCUUCUUAGGUAGUUACUGCAAGAUUCCUUUACAUAAUCUACCAAAAAUGCCCCUUAGCUACCCUGAAAUUAUCCCUUAGCCUCAAAUGGUUUAGGGGUUAACCGACCCAAUGGUUACACAGAUUUGGGGUCAGACUAAAAUAAAAUUUUCCAAGCAAAGAGCCUGGAACUGUGUCUUAAAACAACAGCAACAAAAGGCAAGAUUAAAGAGUUAACCUCCGAUGACAGUAAAUUUAUUAAGGAUCUAACUUCACUUAGCUAAGCAAUUAACUGGUAAAGAAAUAUUUAAACUUUUAAACACAACAAUUAAAACAAUAAAACAAGCAGAUUAAAGAAACCUCAAUUAAUAUAGGAACAGAAGAAGGACCUAGUUCGAACCCAAAACCCCACACGAAUUUUUGAUUAAACCAAUUGAAAGAAAAUCAUAAGGGGCGAAAAAGAACUUACCAAAUCCUUCUCAAACCAAACGGAAAUGGAAAACUCGACCAAGCUGAUAUUGACCCUGUUGUUCUUUGUCAAGAACAAUUGAAUCGACAUCAAUCUUGCCAAGUCAGGAUCACCAACUUUGCAAGAACUUAUUGCAUGCUACCGGGCUCUAAGGGAAAUGAUUUUGGGCUUUUGAGUUGGACUUCGAAUUAUAAUAUUCGACGAGUUCUAUGUCGAUUCAAAGGAUAUGGGUAGAGAUUUGGAAUAAGGAGGACCUGGUGGUCAUCUAGUGUUAUUUUGGGGUCGACCAGAGGCGGCAGUGCCACCAGAGAAAUUGUGGAGGUGCUAGGGUUCAUAACUUCAAGCCAAGAUUCAAGGAGUUUGGGUAAGUUUUGAGGGGAGCUAGUUGUGGAUUCAAAAUGAGGAGGCAAAGGAGGGAUUGUGGUGUAAUUUCGGUGGUCAUUGAACGUCGGCCGCCGCCAUAGGCGAUUUUCGGCGGGCGGCAGGAGGUUGCUCAGGGCGGUGAUAAUGAAGGGGUCUCUGAGAGACGGAAGGGAUGAGGUGGAGGAGGUUAUGAGGGGGGUAGGUGUUCAGACAUAUAUAUGCUUAGGAGUCCUUAGCUUCAGGACCGUUAGAUCUCCAAAACCUCAACGGCCA